UUAUACGGCGAAACUGCGAAUGGCUCAUUAAAUCAGUUAUCGUUUAUUUGAUAGUACCUUACUACUUGGAUAACCGUGGUAAUUCUAGAGCUAAUACAUGCUGAAAACCCCGACUUCGGAAGGGAUGUAUUUAUUAGAUUAAAGACCAACGCCCUUCGGGGCUCCCUGGUGAUUCAUAAUAACUUGUCGAAUCGCACGGCCUUGCGCCGGCGAUGGCUCAUUCAAAUUUCUGCCCUAUCAACUUUCGACGGCUGGAUCUGGGCCAGCCGUGGUGACAACGGGUAACGGAGGGUUAGGGCUCGGCCCCGGAGAAGGAGCCUGAGAAACGGCUACUACAUCCAAGGAAGGCAGCAGGCGCGCAAAUUACCCAAUCCCGACGCGGGGAGGUAGUGACAAUAAAUACUGAUACAGGGCUCUUUUGGGUCUUGUAAUUGGAAUGAGUACAAUUUAAUUCCCUUAACGAGGAACAAUUGGAGGGCAAGUCUGGUGCCAGCAGCCGCGGUAAUUCCAGCUCCAAUAGCGUAUAUUAAAGUUGUUGCAGUUAAAAAGCUCGUAGUUGAACCUUGGGCCUGGCUGGCCGGUCCGCCUCACCGCGUGCACUGGUCCGGCCGGGCCUUUCCCUCUGGGGAGCCGCAUGUCCUUCACUGGGCGUGUCGGGGAACCAGGACUUUUACUUUGAAAAAAUUAGAGUGUUCAAAGCAGGCUUAUGCUCGAAUACAUUAGCAUGGAAUAAUAGAAUAGGACGUGUGGUUCUAUUUUGUUGGUUUCUAGGACCGCCGUAAUGAUUAAUAGGGACAGUCGGGGGCAUCAGUAUUCAAUUGUCAGAGGUGAAA
This 833-nucleotide ribosomal RNA is filed under the name Ceratocystiopsis manitobensis. Its description in RNAcentral is "SSU rRNA". It matches the Rfam family "Eukaryotic small subunit ribosomal RNA", at positions 74 to 916 of the family's 1831-position model. The record is from RNAcentral. Lineage: Eukaryota; Fungi; Ascomycota; Sordariomycetes; Ophiostomatales; Ophiostomataceae.